UUGAUCCUGGCUCAGAACGAACGCUGGCGGCGCGUCUUAAGCAUGCAAGUCGAACGGUAGUAAGGUGCUUGCAGCUUAUGAGAGUGGUGAACGGGUGAGUAAUACGUAGGUGAUCUACCGUACAGUUGGGGAUAGCCUGUGGAAACACAUGGUAAUACCCGGAUAAUUCUUAUAUGUUUACGGACGAUAAGGGAAAGGGGUCACGGCCCUGCUUGUCGAAGAGCCUGCGUUCCAUUAGUUACUUGGCCUGGUAACGGACUACCAACGCGACGAUUGAUAGUCGGACUGAGACGGUGAUCGUACACACUGGGACUGAGACACGGCCCAGACUCCUACGGGAGGCAUCAUCUAAGAAUCUUCCGUAAUGGGCGAAAGCCUGACGGAGCGACGCCGCUUGGACGAAUAAGGCCGGAAGGUUGUAACACGUCCUUUUACUCGAUGAAGAAUAACGGCAGUGAGGGAAUGCGCUGUCGAUGACAUUACUUGAGGAAUAAGCCCCGGCUAAUUACGUGCCACCAGUCGCGGUAACGCGUAAUGGGCGAUCGUUGUCCGGAAUUAUUGGGCGUAAAGGGCUCGUAUGCUGCUUGGCAAGCCUGGUGUGAAAGGCCACAGCUUAACUGUGGGAGUGCGCUGGGAACUGCCUAUCUAAAGUUUCGGCACGGGACGCUGGAAUUCCUGGUGUCGGAGUGAGAUCUGUAGAUAUCAGGACGAACAUCUGUGGCGAAAGCGAACUUCUAGCCAGAAACUGACGCUGAGGCGCGAAACCGUGGGGAGCGAACAGGAUUAGAUACCCUGGUAGUCCACGCUGUAA
RNAcentral lists this ribosomal RNA (811 nucleotides) under uncultured organism. Its description in RNAcentral is "bacterial SSU rRNA". It matches the Rfam family "Bacterial small subunit ribosomal RNA", at positions 13 to 805 of the family's 1533-position model. The record is from RNAcentral.